This 367-nucleotide ribosomal RNA is filed under the name uncultured bacterium. Its description in RNAcentral is "bacterial SSU rRNA". It matches the Rfam family "Bacterial small subunit ribosomal RNA", at positions 28 to 394 of the family's 1533-position model. The record is from RNAcentral.
GAUGAACGCUAGCGGCAGGCCUAACACAUGCAAGUCGAGGGGCAGCACGUCUUCGGAUGGUGGCGACCGGCGCACGGGUGCGUAACGCGUAUGCAACCUACCUCUUACAGUGGGAUAGCCCAGAGAAAUUUGGAUUAAUACCGCAUAGUAUGCGACAUCAGCAUUGAUGACGUAUUAAACAUUCAUGGGUAAGAGAUGGGCAUGCGUUCUAUUAGUUAGUUGGAGUGGUAACGGCACCCCAAGACAGCGAUAGAUAGGGCCCGUGAGAGGGGGAGUCCCCCACCACUGGUACUGAGACACGGACCAGACUCCUACGGGAGGCAGCAGUGAGGAAUAUUGGACAAUGGGCGGGAGCCUGAUCCAGCCA